CCUACGGGAGGCAGCUGUGGGGAAUAUUGGACAAUGGGGGCAACCCUGAUCCAGCCAUGCCGCGUGUGUGAAGAAGGCCCUCGGGUUGUAAAGCACUUUCAGUGAGGAAGAACGCCUGGUGGUUAAUACCCAUCAGGAAAGACAUCACUCACAGAAGAAGCACCGGCUAACUCCGUGCCAGCAGCCGCGGUAAUACGGAGGGUGCGAGCGUUAAUCGGAAUUACUGGGCGUAAAGCGCGCGUAGGUGGCUUGAUAAGCCGGUUGUGAAAGCCCCGGGCUCAACCUGGGAACGGCAUCCGGAACUGUCAAGCUAGAGUGCAGGAGAGGAAGGUAGAAUUCCCGGUGUAGCGGUGAAAUGCGUAGAGAUCGGGAGGAAUACCAGUGGCGAAGGCGGCCUUCUGGACUGACACUGACACUGAGGUGCGAAAGCGUGGGUAGCAAACAGGAUUAGAUACCCCAGUAGUC
Molecule: ribosomal RNA, 465 nt
Filed under: Vreelandella stevensii
Lineage: Bacteria; Pseudomonadati; Pseudomonadota; Gammaproteobacteria; Oceanospirillales; Halomonadaceae
Description: partial 16S ribosomal RNA
Rfam family: Bacterial small subunit ribosomal RNA
Source: RNAcentral